AUACGGAGGGUGCGAGCGUUAAUCGGAAUUACUGGGCGUAAAGCGUACGUAGGCGGUUGGUUAAGUUAGAUGUGAAAGCCCCGGGCUUAACCUGGGAACUGCAUUUAAAACUGGCGUACUAGAGUUGAGUAGAGGGGAGUGGAAUUUCAGGUGUAGCGGUGAAAUGCGUAGAGAUCUGAAGGAACACCAGUGGCGAAGGCGACUCCCUGGACUCGAACUGACGCUGAGGUACGAAAGCGUGGGUAGCAAACGGGAUUAGAAACCCCAGUAGUCC
Molecule: ribosomal RNA, 274 nt
Filed under: uncultured bacterium
Lineage: Bacteria
Description: partial 16S ribosomal RNA
Rfam family: Bacterial small subunit ribosomal RNA
Source: RNAcentral